Symphalangus syndactylus (siamang) is the source of this 477-nucleotide long non-coding RNA. RefSeq lists it as uncharacterized. The record is from RefSeq and is a predicted model, not a curated record. Lineage: Eukaryota; Metazoa; Chordata; Mammalia; Primates; Hylobatidae.
ACCCGGCCCCCGAGGUCACCCUCCCGGGGAGCGGCCGGGUAGGCCUCAGAGACUCUCCGGUCCGGACCCGCGCCAUCAACCCCCAUGCGCAGCGGCUGGGCCUGAGGCCUCGGCGACGGGGUUAGCCCCGGCCUGGAAGGACUGAGGGUGCAGAGGCUCGAGGCCUGGGGUAGGGGACGAUUCUGGAGGCUCCCCCGGCUCCCCGCUUACGGCCCUGGACGCCGCCACCCUGGGCAGGCGAUACACUCGCGUUAGGCACCGACUGGCUGUUCCCGGCGCCCUUCCUCGGAGAACGAUAAAGGAGGCAUCUCCCCACUCCACCCCACACAAACACCUAGACCUAGUCACUCUCAGCUUUCUGUAACCAGAGCUGGAGCAUAGGGGAAGCAAUCAUCCUGUCUAGAGAUUCCUGGAAGUUUUAGAUCAAGCUUGUCCAACCCGCGGUCCGGCACACGAUUCGUAAACUUUCUUAAAACA